GUGGCUGUAGUUUAAUGGUGAAAAUUCUACGUUGUGGCCGUGGAGACCUGGGCUCGAGUCCCAGUACACACA
Non-coding RNA from Capsicum annuum, 72 nucleotides. NCBI's taxonomy places the organism in Eukaryota, Viridiplantae, Streptophyta, Magnoliopsida, Solanales, Solanaceae. The record is from Rfam.